Molecule: long non-coding RNA, 354 nt
Filed under: Heterocephalus glaber (naked mole-rat)
Lineage: Eukaryota; Metazoa; Chordata; Mammalia; Rodentia; Bathyergidae
Description: lncRNA (ENSHGLG00000025216.2)
Source: RNAcentral
CUCUGAUCCAGACCUACAGGGAGCGUGAAAUGCGGACGAGACCGCGAGGGCUCCGUGCCAAAGAAGAGUGUCGAACAUCGCGCCGAUGUUUUUAGGUCAUGAUGUCUUCAUCGGUGUUCAGAGGAGGCCAGCUGGGCCACACAGCAGCAGCCUGAUGACUCCGAGUGAGCCGCGGCCUUGGGUCUGGACAUCUUCUUGCCAUGCAGUGCCAUUGGCUAAGAGCCCCUCGUUGGCAAGGCAUCGAGAAUCCAUCUCCUUAAGGCCUGGCGCUGGCACGGUAUUAGAUGCUGAGAGGCAAGGUGGACUUCGAGGAAGACAAGACUGGAGCAGCGAGGAGGCAUCUGUGAACAAGAC